UACAUUGCUCACUUCAUAUAGUAUAUUGAAAGGAAUUCUCUCAUAUUGUGGAUGCACUUUCCUUAGACACUUCAAUAAUUGCGCACUAUUCAAGUGUGCUAAAAAGGAAACUCACCACACUAUGCCAUCCUGCACAAUUCUCACAAAGUACGCCCCAACAACCAUAAGUGCACUAUUUUUCACCAAUAAGCCAAGUUCACCUCAACAAUCUUAGGUGCACAAUUUUCCUUCAAUAAUGUAGCUCACCUCCCUAAUUCAUAAGUGUGUUAUUCUCUCCUCCAUUGAUGAAGCACACCUCAGAUAGAUUCUACCUUAGCGAAUUACCUUAAUUGUACCUUGCGCUCAUGCCACACCUUUCGAUCAUUGUGCAUUCGUCAAGGUUGUGCAUCAAUUAGUGCCCUUAAAGUUUAGAUUAAUCCAUCCACAUCACCAUGUUGUUGUAUUGAAAAGAAAGAAAUUGUAGCCAACCACUCCAUGCUAACAUCUCAUGACUAAUGGUUGGAUUGACAUACUUAAAUCAACAUUAUAGGCAUGAG
RNAcentral lists this long non-coding RNA (536 nucleotides) under Vitis vinifera (wine grape). Its description in RNAcentral is "long non-coding RNA (VVIN_LNC007189)". Lineage: Eukaryota; Viridiplantae; Streptophyta; Magnoliopsida; Vitales; Vitaceae. The record is from RNAcentral.